This 826-nucleotide long non-coding RNA is filed under the name Ananas comosus (pineapple). RNAcentral's name for it is "long non-coding RNA (ACOM_LNC023782)". Lineage: Eukaryota; Viridiplantae; Streptophyta; Magnoliopsida; Poales; Bromeliaceae. The record is from RNAcentral.
UUUAACAUCUUUCCGUUGAAUAUAAACAUUAAAAAUACUGUUCUUCGGUACAAUUUUGUUUUCAGAUAAUUUUAAAAAAUAUUAUAAUUAGCUAAAUGACUCUAGUAAAAAAAUAUUUAGCUAAAUAACCCUUCUUUUGCCAUAUAUAUAGGAGUCAUGAUAAAUUUUUUCUUAAAGGUGGUAAAUCGUUUACCGCCUUUAUAAUUUUUGAUAAAAGUGGUGAAUCAUUCACCGUCUUCUUGAAGAUUGUUUGUUAGAAUUUUUUUAGAUUGUUAAGGUUGUAUGUAAUUUGUUCAAUUUUUUAUAUGAUUGUUAGGAUUAUAUAUAAAAAUAAAAAUAAAAAGUGAGAUUGUUAGGAUUGUAUGUGAAUUAUUAGAAUUUUUUUUUGAUUGUUAGAAUUGUAUGAAUAGAUUAUUAGAAUUUUUUUAGCUGUUAAAAUUGUAUGUGAUUUGUUGAAAUUUUUAUGUAACUGUUAUAAUUAAUUAUAUGAAAAAAUAAAAAAAAAUAAUAAAAGAGAUUUGUGGGAAAUUAGAAAGGCGGUAAUUUACCGCCUUUACUAGGUGGUAAACGAUUCGCGGCCUCUAGGAGAAAAUUUUAUGGUGGUUCUUACAUCGCAAAAAGAAGGUUAGUUUGACAAUUAUUUUUUUAUAGGGUUAUUUAUCCAAUUAGAGAAUUUUGUAAGGCUAUUUUGAAAAAAAGUCCUCUCCAGUAUGUAGCUUAAGUUAUUGUUGAACAACGAUUAUUUUAUACAAUUUAACAUGAUUUUAGAAUAGAAGAUUUUAAGUUGAAGUCUUACUAGACUCCUUACUUUAUUUGAUUUCCCCUG